AUGAAAAAAAAAAAAGCUAUUAAAAUGUUUUAUAAAAUAGUAUAACAGCAUAUACAUAAUACUAAAAUAACACCGCUAUUUUUAAUAUAUUUUUUUAAAUCCCGAAAACAUUUUAUUCAGAAUAUCCUGACAACUCUUUUCUAUAUAAUUGGAGUAACUAGGGACUGGGGCUGUCAACGUACAAAUUGACGAAAAAUCAAAAACAUAAAAGUAUCAUAAAAGUAGUCAUAAGAAAAAGGAGAUUAUUAUUUAUUAACAGCUUAGCUUUCUGUUUCCAAAAUGUAUAAUAUGUCUUCAGAAGACUUGAAAUAUAGCCCACUAUGUCAAAUGGACUGCUUUUUUUUUAGCUUGACAACCUGUCCCCAUUCACUUCUAUUAUAUGCAAAGGAUCGAACAAGAGAUAUAUUUAACUUUUUUGUUAAACAGAAGAGAAAAGGUAUUUGAAAAAAAAAAAAACAUAAGAGUGAGCAAAUGACAGAUUUUUCAUUUUUAGGAGUUUCUUUCUUCUGUUGAACACAAAAGAAUAUAUUUUGAAAACUGUUGGUAUCUGAACAGUUGAUGGGCACCAAAAAAUACUAUGGAAAUCAAUGGUGCCCAUCAACUGUUCUGAUGCCAACAUUUUUCAUAACAUCCUCUUUGUGUUCAACAGAAGAAAGAAACUUUCUUGAGAAAAAUGACGUAAUUUUCAUUCUGGAAGUUAACUACUCCUUUACCGUUGAUUCAAUGUUAUUUCAAUCAUAGAAAGAUACUUUAAAAAAAAAAAAAGCACAACUGCAGAGUUAAAUUAGACUGUGACACAAAAACUACAGUACUGCAGUAGCAGCACAAGAUAACACAACUAAUAAGCUUUUAACAAGAAUGUCAGUGCAUCAGACUGUCUGCUUCUUACACGCAGCUGCUUUAAACUUUGCACAAAUUACAAGCCAGAAAACUGACAUAACAGCUCUUGAAAUAGUCUUUACUUUUAAAUGUAUCCAUGCUGUGGAAGUGGAUUUUUUUUCUUACACAGUUGCAUUUGACUCUACAUUCACAGAGUUAUAACCCUGUUGACAAUCAGACAUUAUAACAUCAUAAUGUCCCUAAACAUUGUUGAAUGUAUUGUCUUGUGAGGCUAACUCAAAAUUCCCUCAUUAGCUUGAUAGCAUGUUAAGCUAUCGUUAAAUAAAUGCUUGGACGUGUUCAUUUUAGACUCAUGGUUGCCAAAUGUCGCAAAAAUAUCCGUCAUGAACUCUAAAUGUACGAUACAGUUUUAACAAUAACAAACAGGUGCUUUUCAUAGAGUCUGUGAACUGACUGUUCAGAUGUCACCAGUUGUCUUAGUAUUACCACUGUAUUACGAACGUCACUGUACAGUUAAUGCAGUAGAGUGAUAGUAGGCCUGUAAGUUAUAACAUAGAUAUUAAAACAAGCAGAUAGGCUAACCAAAGUCCCUUGACAAUUAGUGAGUCAUGAUUUUUGUUCUAAAACAGCAGUGAGGGUGUUGUCUUUGUUCAUAAUGUUCUGUUCCAUGAACUGAUCUAUCUGCCUGAGUCAAAACAGGAAAGAGUAUGAAUUUGUCAGGCACUUUUGAAAUGUAACUUCUGGGCCCUUCAGAAUGAAAUACUGAUUGCAGUGAAAGUGGUUUGCUUUUUUGUUUCUUCACAAAAGAAGAAGAAUAAAUUGUAAAUAUGAUAACACAAAUAUAUUAUAUAAAUAUAUAAAUGAAUCUGAGAAAAUAAACUUUUAAAUAUUAAGAAGUGGCCAGCCAUUUUCUUGUUUUCAAGUUUUUUUUUGUUUGUUUACUCACGAACACAGCUUGUUACAAAAGUAGCUUAUUUUGGUCUAUUGUCUGGCACUAGGUCUCCAGUAUUUCCUAUUUGGCAGAAAACAUUGGAGUGUCUUGUAAAAGAUUAGGGUGGUGAUAUCAUUUUUCACUAUCUGUGUUUUGUCUGCAUGAUUUGUGCUGCCAAAACACCAGAUCAUUUUCAAAGAAUAGAUGUUUUCUGUCUACUACUCAUUGUCCUGUACGCCCAUAACAAAACUUCAGACAGAAAUGUAACAAAAAUCUAUUCUGAAUAACUGGCAGUUUUUUAGGAUUUGAACACAUUUUGACAUGCAUUGUCAAGCUGUUUUCCAAAUAUAAAUAAUAUCCUAAAUUAUAUACCUAAAGUCAUAACGUCAUAUAGUGAUAUAGUAUACUGUAUAUAGGCUAUAUUAGUGGUAUCAAAAAUAGCGUUAACGCAGGCAAUUUUUUUCAGUUUAAUGCGUUAAAAAAAUUCAAUUCAAGUUUAGCAUAUUUGUAUAGCGCUUUUCACGAUACAAAUAGUUGCAAAGCAGCUUUACAGGAAAUUAAGUUUCUACAAUAUAUUUAGUAGUAGCUUGUCAGUGGUGACUGUCAAAUUGAUGUACAUACGGCAGAAAUGUGCGGUAAAAUUCAGUUAGUAACAUAAUCAGACAAACAAUGAACACUAUUAAGAGCAAUGGACCCUUUUCACAAGACUGUGAUGACGCGUUUUAUUGUCAUCAUCGUAAAUCCAAAAAGUUUUUCAUAUUUGUAUUUUUUACAAAAUUUAUGUACAUUUAUAACACUAUUCUUUGUCUUAUAUCACCUUUGCAUCAAAUUAAAAAAAAAAAAAACAGUUAACGUCGACAUGAAACGGAAGUAGCGAUUGUCUUUUUUUCUCUACUGUGACAUCUAUCUGAGUGAAACGGCAUCUGAAAUGAAAGGGCGGGACUUGAUUUUGUCCUUCGGGAAUUGAUUGGAUCGUUUGAACAGGCGCGAGAGAGAGAGAGACUGCCUGAAUGACUGAGCGCAUCCUACAUCAGGUUUAGUCAUAUUCAUAAAACAAUAGUUUGCGAUGUCCUGAGAGUAAUGUUUUGGUAAUAUCCUAAUAUCCUUUCAGUUUUUAAGGGUAGUGUACUCCCCCAUGGCUUGCGUCAGCACUGGUCAAUGCAUUGAUUUCUAUAAAGUAAAGCAUCAGCUUCAAUUUCUCCCCGUUAUUUAUCCCAGCGUUUACCCAUUACGUCAUUAGCUCCACCCUUGCGCCAUAGCUUGUGACCGGAAGAAAAGAGGAGUCAUUUUGAGGGGGAGGAGAGGUUAACGUUUUUGAUUAAAGUUUUUGUUUUACUCAGCCUCGAAGCAUCCUAGGUGUAUGUGACUUUCUUCUUUCAGACGAAUCCAGUCGGAGUUAUAUUAAAAAUUGUCUUUACUCUUGCAAGCCUUUCAAUUGGGGUAAGCAGGUGUUUGUUGUCAACAGUUCAGAAGACGUAAAGUAAAGUGCGCGCAUCUGUAAUAAAGCAUCCCUCACACGGCUCCAGGGGGGUGUAUAAAGGCCCCCUGUAGCGAAUCCAUAUGUUUUUGUAAGAUAAAUAUCCAGAUUUAAAAUGUAAUUUCAAAACUUUUUUUUCUCACAUCUGCUGACUGUGGGAAGCAGAAGACGUGCAGGCAGAUGACGUAGUAUGUCAGCACUGCAUGGUUACUAAUGAGCGUGGAGAGAGAACAAAACAAAACACCGGUCACAAAUUAAAAUCACGAAACGAGGAUUUGUAUAGAAAAACGUUGAAGAUUUUGCUAAAAGCCAAUAGGAGACUUGUGUAGAACCUCAGUGAACAGACAUAAAUACAUAAGUGAAUCACCACAUUCCAAGAACAACCUAAAGAAACCUCUCUCAGCCAUCUGUGGGUCAUAAAAAUGACCAAUGACCCUUCUAACGCCCAAUUGUCUGGACCGGUUUCCAGUCUUGUCUGGUUCCUAUCCUUCAAGGGAUCAACAUUGUAAAGAAAAACCUUACUCAACCAACACAGAACAAAGAACGCUGUAUCUGGAAAUGUUCCACACUACUUGACCCCAUGACUGUUUAACGCAUAAAUUGAUAAUCUUAUCAGUUGAAAAAACAGAUUUACGUUGACUCAGAUGCUCAGCAGUUCUACACCAGUUACACUGUCAUGACCUCCUCGUCCUCGGGAACACACGACUCCCCUCACAUCCUGCAUUCCAAAAGAACACGCCCACUUCCUUACAAAGGAGCACACGCAAACUCACAUAGAUGAUUUCAAAAGACAAUCAUUUAAAAGUAUAAAAGUGCAACUAUAUUCACAAAUAAUAUGUUUUAAUUCUUAUAUAUGCUUGAUGUGUUUCAUGUAAUCGGUGCAAGUUUAAUAAAUGUUAUAUAACCCCUUUUAGUAGAUAAGAUUAUUAAUGUGUAUGCAAACUACCCGAUAUCUGAGCUUGAAUGAAAGCUUAUUUUAUGUGCAAGACUUUGAAAUGAAUGAAAAGCUGUUAUUUUGAACAGUGUGUUGUAUGACACUUUAUAGAAGUUAUUAACAAAACCUGCAAAGACAUUUCCACAGUGAUGAAUUAAACAGCAUGUUAAUUUAUGAACGAAAAAGGAACCGUAUGGGGCGUGACUAAGUCUUGCAACAAACUGAUUGGAAGAUUGUGUCGUGGGACGGACUUAUUCAGCUUGAUCAAAACCCCAAUCUCGGAGCAGAUCCGUGCUCGCUUGCUUUCUUGAUAUUUGGCUUCUUCGCCUUGUUGACCGCGCUACAAAGAGCUCACAUGCUGUAACGUCAUGCGAGCGAGACUCCAGAACUCAAACAAUUUGAAACUUUGUGACUGCCGGAAUCUUCAAAGUCUAGCCAAGCAAAGAAACUCUCAGAUGAACUUCCGAAGCUCCUACGUCACAAGGCGAACCUCCAUUCCCCACGAGGGUUCUCCCAAAAGACGUCAACCAAACAACAGAUCUGCAAGCAAUCAGAGGUGCUGGGAUUCCCUGAGAUGAGCCAGAGCAAAACUCCAACUCCUCUCAACUCAAACGCAAAAACGCAUGGAUUCACUACAGUGGGCCUUUAUUCACACCCCGGAGUCAUGUGAGGGACGUUUUAUUACAGAUGCGCGCACUUUAUUUCACGUCUUCUGAACUGUUGACAACAAACACCCGCUUACCCCCAUUGAAAGGCUUAGAAGAGCAAGGACAAAUUUUAAUAUAACUCAGAUUGGAUUCGUCUGAAAGAAGAAAGUCACAUACACCUAGGAUGCUUCGAGGGUAGUCCAGGUCCUCCAGCAUAGGACAUCCAUAUGUGCUGUUGCAAGGAGGUUUGGUGUGUCUCCCAGUCCCAGCACAGACUCGGUCUUGAGCGUUGAGGAAAUACAGUGAGCCAGGCUGUUACAAGAGGACAGCUGGACAGAACCGUAGAAGGGUUACGUUCCCCAGGCAUGAUUCCAUUUGAGAACAUCUUGAAAGUUAUGUAUGGGAUGUAUUGGAGCAUCUGAAGCUGCAGUUUUUUUUUCUUUGAUUUUAUAUAUAUACAUAUACAUAUAUACAGUGGGUAUAGAAAAAAAUCACCCCCUUUUAAAUUAAUCACAUUUUGUUGCUUUGCAGCCUAGAAUGAAGACCUACACAGUUUUUGUCAGAAUUGCUGAGUUGGAAACAGAAUCACCCCUUCCUAAAAAUUACUUGUAAACUCAAUCAGGUGGAGCUAAUCACCUUCUCAAUGGCGCAAAAAAAGCAAAUGGUCAACUGUGGGUGGCAAGGCACUGUCAAAAGAUCUCAGGGAUAAAGUUGUGGACAGGCACAAGUCAGGAGAUGGAUCCAAAAAGAAUUUCAAAGGCUUUAUCAAUGCCCCGGAAGCACAGUGAAGUCUAUU
Long non-coding RNA from Cyprinus carpio (common carp), 5625 nucleotides. RefSeq lists it as uncharacterized. NCBI's taxonomy places the organism in Eukaryota, Metazoa, Chordata, Actinopteri, Cypriniformes, Cyprinidae. The transcript has 3 exons. The record is from RefSeq and is a predicted model, not a curated record.